Carassius gibelio (silver crucian carp) is the source of this 1899-nucleotide long non-coding RNA. RefSeq lists it as uncharacterized. NCBI's taxonomy places the organism in Eukaryota, Metazoa, Chordata, Actinopteri, Cypriniformes, Cyprinidae. The record is from RefSeq and is a predicted model, not a curated record. The transcript is spliced from 7 exons.
GGGAGGGCCUUCUGCUCUUGGCCAAUGCUUUGCUGUCUGCUGACGUACAGUCCAAUCACAAGUCGUAUUUAUCUGAAAGGUGGGAUUGACCGACUGCUCCGCCAAUGACAAAAGCGCACAGGAUACGCAAACAGAGAAUGCGCAGAUUUCUGGCCACAAGACGUCCCGGAUGGCUUGCGGUCUGGUUCUAAAAUAAGGUUACCAACUUUUCGCUGGAAUUCACCGUACAAUUGCCAUCAGUCUGCGUAUAAAUAACACGACUUUACACUUUCUAGUUGCGUGUAAUGCAUACGCCAAAUGCCAUUUUUGAGUGAAUAUGAUACACCAAUACUUCACAUUAAUUUCGGUGGAGAGCAGAUGCGUCCAAAUAACACGCAUCAUCUUCAGCGGCAGUGACGUCACCAGCGAGGAUCGUCCAGUUCACCUGAUGCGCGUACACCUUCAAACAGGUAAGCAAGGUUACGUCGGAUUACAUGCUCCACAACAACCUGUAAUCCAGCAGAUCUUUAAAGAAGCCAUCUCUUGUAAAAUCUCUCUCUCUCUCUCUCUCUCUCUCUCUCUCUCUCUCUCUCUCUCUCUCUCUCGCUCUGCUAGAAUUAACAGUUAACUUUAACUCCACGCUCCCAAUGCUGAUAUUGAAGAAGCUGUUAAGGGGGCUGAACAAGUCCUUCAAAGGUUCAACCCCUCACAGGAAGGCCUGUCAUGAGAUUUGAAUUUGACCAUCUUGUGCAUUUAUGAAGAAGACCAAAAGCUGCAAAGGCAAACACUUGCAAUGGCAGAAACUGAGAGUUUGCAUGAUGGCAUUUUCUCAGACGCUGAAUCUGAUGUGUACAGAUGAACUCAGGAGCCUACUAGAGUUGCCAAGGAACUUGUGCUUGAACUGAAGACCAGAAACGCAAAAGAAAAUCAGUCAAGCCAGUCCUAAAGAAAUGAGGAAUGAACAUGGACUUCUUGUGCCCCAAAAGAAAAGACAGAAAGCUCCUAGAAUGAGCAAAUCAGCUGUGCAUCAUCUCUGUGAUUUGGGAAGGAAAUGACUGAAUAUGAUGGAGCCAGUUGAUGAAGAUAUCAAUUGAAUGGCCACCGAGUGCAUCACUGCUACCUGAACCCAUCAGUUAUCUGCUGUGAAGACUGCAUUCACAAACCGCUCUACUGCGACAGCUCAGAUGUUACGGCCUGUAAAAGUAAACAUCACAGCAAAACAACGAGAGCUAGUUGUGGUGGGAUUCUUUUGGCCAAUAUCCCCAACAAGAAUCGAUGUUAAGUCCAGUGCAACAAUUAUAAAUAAAAAUACUUUAUAUUGUUUAUUGAUUUACCAUACCCUAAAUACAUGUUUUGUCUCUCCAGGACAUCUAGACCAGGUGGAGUGUGAGGAGGACGGUCAGAGACUCCAGCCAGCCGAGCCAUGGAUUGCUCUCACUGUUACCAUCAGGCAGACGUUAUCACAGAACCUACACCAGCAGACAGUGAGACAAGUUCCUUUCACAGGCAAUCAGACUGAACUGAACUCAUACCAGUAAAACCAUACACACCCCACCAACCUCAUAUGCCCUGCACUCUUAUCAGUUAUGCUGACUGGACUCAAUAUUAUUAUGCACCCUGACAUUCUGUUUGCACUAAUUCAUACCGUGCUUUACUGCAGAGAUGUAUGUGUACUGUGGUUAUUAUUGUUUUCAAUUCAUGCUCUCUGUAUAGCAUAAUUUUUAACAUAUUGUUCUCUACCUGAAUUGAGUCCCUUAUAUAUGUAUGUUGCAUAUAUAUAUUCAGAAUUUGUAUUUCAUAUAUAUUCAUGAAUUAAUUAAUUUGUCAUCCAUACUGUCACGCUGCAGUCUGCACUCAAGACUUUCACCACCUGUAUACUUGUGUUCAUUGUAUUGUGACAAUAAAGACAUUUGAUUUAAA